RNAcentral lists this ribosomal RNA (451 nucleotides) under uncultured bacterium. RNAcentral's name for it is "bacterial SSU rRNA". It matches the Rfam family "Bacterial small subunit ribosomal RNA", at positions 64 to 507 of the family's 1533-position model. The record is from RNAcentral.
GAGCGGUAACAGGUGUAGCAAUACAUGCUGACGAGCGGCGAACGGGUGGGUAAUGCUUCGGAAUCUGCCCAAUGGUGGGGAAUAACCAGCCGAAAGGUUGGCUAAUACCGCAUGAGCCCUACGGGGGAAAGCAGGGGAUCGUAAGACCUUGCGCCGAUGGAUGAGCCGAAGUCGGAUUAGCUAGUUGGUAGGGUAACAGCCUACCAAGGCGACAAUCCGUAGCUGGUCUGAGAGGACGACCAGCCACACUGGGACUGAGACACGGCCCAGACUCCUACGGGAGGCAGCAGUGGGGAAUAUUGGACAAUGGGGGAAACCCUGAUCCAGCGACGCCGCGUGUGUGAAGAAGGCCUGCGGGUUGUAAAGCACUUUUAGUGGGGAUGAAAAGCUCAGNGGCUAACACCUCUGGGUCUUGACCUAACCCACAGAAAAAGCACCGGCUAACUCUGUG